Molecule: long non-coding RNA, 518 nt
Organism: Camellia sinensis
Lineage: Eukaryota; Viridiplantae; Streptophyta; Magnoliopsida; Ericales; Theaceae
Source: RefSeq, a predicted model, not a curated record
GAAGUUCCUCAUCUCUUCUCUCUCAUUCUAGACCCUUCGAAGCCUCCUCGCCUUCCAAGUUCGUACAAAACGCCGUGGUUUCAUCGGAGUACGAGCAAGAACAGGACCUAUUGAGCGAUGCAGAGGAACCCAGUGUUUGGAGGAAGGGGCAGAGGAUUUUAUAGUAAACCUGUUAAAUGAUUGGACGUGAAACGUUACAAAGAUAAGUCUUCGAUGAUGAUGAUGUUCAUGUUCUUGUAAAGUCACUGCAGUGGAUGAUGGAAGGAGAGCUCUGCAAUUUCUAGGAUUGGAUGAUGAGGAAAAGAGCUAUGUUGGGUUUGAUGAUGAUGUUCAUGGUUUUUUUUUUUUUUUUUUGUGUAGAAGAAAAUGCUUUGCUUAUUUUUCCUCUCUGUUUUGUGUGUUGAUCAAAUGAUUCAUAAUAAUUCUAGAACAUCAGGUGAAGAUGAUUUCACUUUGGAGACCUAACUGUGGUACCCACUAAAACACCAAACAAAUGUUAUGAAAAAAAAAAGUAUCUG